UAGAUGAGGAAAAUUACUCAUGGGCGUGGC
Molecule: non-coding RNA, 30 nt
Filed under: Rattus norvegicus (Norway rat)
Lineage: Eukaryota; Metazoa; Chordata; Mammalia; Rodentia; Muridae
Source: RNAcentral